This 450-nucleotide ribosomal RNA is filed under the name uncultured bacterium. RNAcentral describes it as "partial 16S ribosomal RNA". It matches the Rfam family "Bacterial small subunit ribosomal RNA", at positions 354 to 796 of the family's 1533-position model. The record is from RNAcentral.
GUAGGGAAUCUUCCACAAUGGACGAAAGUCUGAUGGAGCAACGCCGCGUGAGUGAAGAAGGUCUUCGGAUCGUAAAACUCUGUUGUUAGAGAAGAACGUGCAUGAUAGUAACUGAUCAUGUAAUGACGGUAUCUAACCAGAAAGCCACGGCUAACUACGUGCCAGCAGCCGCGGUAAUACGUAGGUGGCAAGCGUUGUCCGGAUUUAUUGGGCGUAAAGGGAACGCAGGCGGUUUUUUAAGUCUGAUGUGAAAGCCUUCGGCUUAACCGAAGAAUAGCAUUGGAAACUGGAAGACUUGAGUGCAGAAGAGGUAAGCGGAAUUCCCGGUGUAGCGGUGAAAUGCGUAGAGAUCGGGAGGAACACCAGUGGCGAAGGCGGCUUACUGGACUGUAACUGACGCUGAGGCGCGAAAGCGUGGGGAGCGAACAGGAUUAGAAACCCGGGUAGUCC